Numida meleagris (helmeted guineafowl) is the source of this 1314-nucleotide long non-coding RNA. Lineage: Eukaryota; Metazoa; Chordata; Aves; Galliformes; Numididae. The record is from Ensembl.
CUGUGUCCCUGUCCCUGUGCUGUGUCCCCGUGCCUCAGUGUCCCCACGUUUUGUCCCCACGCUGUGUCCCCAUCCCUCCGUGUCCCCGCGGCCCCGGGGUCUCUGUGCUGUGGGGAGGACCCGUCCGUGCCCCCUGGCCGUGGGUUUGGGUGGGGGGCUCGGUUCGUGUGCGCCGUGUGCCCCCCACGGUGGCUCUGUCCCAUCCUGGGGACACCUCGGGGUCCCCCCGUGGCGCUGGGGGGGGUGGCAUUCCAUCCGUCCGUCCGUCCGUCCAUCUGUUGUGCCGUCCUGGAUCCGUCCGUCCCUCUGCCCCACAUCUGUCUGCCCCAUGGGGGUGGCAGCGGCAUGGUGGGGGCGGGUGGCGUUAACCCCUUCAGUGCUGCACAGUGGGGGCGGGUUGGGGCCUCCCACGUGUGACAUGGGGGGCACUGAGGCACUGGGGGGGGACACAGCACAACACAUCCCUGCCUCAGCUUCCAUGAGGUGUGGGAGCAGUCAGCGCCCUCGUGCAACGCCGUGUCCCCAUGCCCUCGUGCCACGCCGUGUCCUCAUACCAUGUCACGUCCCCCUGUCACAUCGUGUCCCCGUGCCCCACACCUGUGUCCCCCUGUGUUCCCAUGGCUGCUGUGUCCCCACGCCCCACACUCGUGUGUCCCUGUGUUGUGGUGCUGCCGUGUCCCCGUGUCGCACCACGUCCUCCUCCGUGUCACCGCCGUGUCCUCGUGCUGCCACGCUCACAGUGUCCCCGUGCUGUGCCAUGUCCCGGUGCCACGCUGUGUCCUCGUCACCUCGUGCCCCUGCGCCGUGUGCCGCGCUGCGCUCUGUGCCGAGGGUUCCACGCUGCAUCCUUGUGCUGCCGUGCCAUCGUGUCCCCUGGCCGUGCCACGUCCUCACACUCACUGUGUCCUUGUGCCACCGUGCCCUGUGCCCAUGCUGUCCCCAUGCUGCGCCACAUCCUUGUGCCUCGUGGUGCAUCCUUGUGCCCACCGUGUCCUUGUGCCCACUCACCCUCGUGCCCCACGGCAUUGCCUCAUGGUUGCCACAUCCCCGUGCCCCGUCCUUGUGCCCGAUGGUGCCCACACAUCCUCACGCCCCGUGCCAUUUCCUUGUGUCCGCCGCAUCCUCGUGCCCCACAGCGUGAUCUUGUUCCCCACAGCGUGUCCUCAUGCCCCAUGGCACCUCCUUGUAUCCACCGUCUCUUCAUGAUUCAUGGCACGUUCUCGUGCCCACUCAUCCUCGUGCCCCACAGCAUUGCCUUGUGGUUGCCACAUCCCCGUGCCCCAUGGCAUGCACUUGUGCCCCAUGGUGCCCGCC